RNAcentral lists this transfer RNA (73 nucleotides) under Datura stramonium (jimsonweed). RNAcentral's name for it is "tRNA-Leu". It matches the Rfam family "tRNA". From Rfam's summary of the family: Transfer RNA (tRNA) molecules are approximately 80 nucleotides in length. Their secondary structure includes four short double-helical elements and three loops (D, anti-codon, and T loops). Lineage: Eukaryota; Viridiplantae; Streptophyta; Magnoliopsida; Solanales; Solanaceae. The record is from RNAcentral.
GCAUCCAUGGCUGAAUGGUUAAAGCGCCCAACUCAAAAUUGGUGAAUUCGUAGGUUCAAUUCCUACUGAUGCA